AACGAACACUGGCGGCAUGCCUAACACAUGCAAGUCGAACGAGACCUUCGGGUCUAGUGGCGCACGGGUGCGUAACGCGUGGGAACCUGCCCUUAGGUUCGGAAUAACUCCCCGAAAGGGGUGCUAAUACCGGAUAAUGUCUUCGGACCAAAGAUUUAUCGCCUUUGGAUGGGCCCGCGUUGGAUUAGCUAGUUGGUAGGGUAAAAGCCUACCAAGGCGACGAUCCAUAGCUGGUCUGAGAGGAUGAUCAGCCACACUGGGACUGAGACACGGCCCAGACUCCUACGGGAGGCAGCAGUGGGGAAUAUUGGACAAUGGGCGAAAGCCUGAUCCAGCAAUGCCGCGUGAGUGAUGAAGGCCUUAGGGUUGUAAAGCUCUUUUACCCGGGAUGAUAAUGACAGUACCGGGAGAAUAAGCUCCGGCUAACUCCGUG
RNAcentral lists this ribosomal RNA (433 nucleotides) under uncultured bacterium. Its description in RNAcentral is "partial 16S ribosomal RNA". It matches the Rfam family "Bacterial small subunit ribosomal RNA", at positions 29 to 507 of the family's 1533-position model. The record is from RNAcentral.